This is a non-coding RNA of Photobacterium damselae subsp. damselae CIP 102761, 97 nucleotides long. It matches the Rfam family "Bacterial small signal recognition particle RNA". Rfam says of the family: The signal recognition particle (SRP) is a universally conserved ribonucleoprotein involved in the co-translational targeting of proteins to membranes. Archaeal SRP consists of a 7S RNA and homologues of the eukaryotic SRP19 and SRP54 proteins. Lineage: Bacteria; Pseudomonadati; Pseudomonadota; Gammaproteobacteria; Vibrionales; Vibrionaceae. The record is from Rfam.
CAUUGGUCCUCCCGCAACACUAGUUUGUGAACCUGGUCAGGUCCGGAAGGAAGCAGCCACAGCAAAUGACGUGUGUGCCGGGAUGUGGCUGGUGGGG